This 468-nucleotide ribosomal RNA is filed under the name uncultured bacterium. RNAcentral describes it as "partial 16S ribosomal RNA". It matches the Rfam family "Bacterial small subunit ribosomal RNA", at positions 28 to 507 of the family's 1533-position model. The record is from RNAcentral.
GACGAACGCUGGCGGCGUGCUUAACACAUGCAAGUCGAACGGAAAGGCCCUGCUUUUGUGGGGUGCUCGAGUGGCGAACGGGUGAGUAACACGUGAGUAACCUGCCCUUGACUUUGGGAUAACUUCAGGAAACUGGGGCUAAUACCGGAUAGGAGCUCCUGCUGCAUGGUGGGGGUUGGAAAGUUUCGGCGGUUGGGGAUGGACUCGCGGCUUAUCAGCUUGUUGGUGGGGUAGUGGCUUACCAAGGCUUUGACGGGUAGCCGGCCUGAGAGGGUGACCGGGCACAUUGGGACUGAGAUACGGCCCAGACUCCUACGGGAGGCAGCAGUGGGGAAUAUUGCACAAUGGGCGGAAGCCCGAUGCAGCAACGCCGCGUGCGGGAUGACGGCCUUCGGGUUGUAAACCGCUUUCGCCUGUGACGAAGCGUGAGUGACGGUAAUGGGUAAAGAAGCACCGGCUAACUACGUG